UAUCUGGUUGAUCCUGCCAGUAGUCAUAUGCUUGUCUCAAAGAUUAAGCCAUGCAUGUCUAAGUUCAAGCGAAAAUAAAGUGAAACGCGAAUGGCUCAUUACAUCAGUUAUGGUUCCUUAGAUCGCACUUACUACUUGGAUAACUGUGGUAAUUCUAGAGCUAAUACAUGCGCUGGGCCCCAACCCUCGUGGAAGGGGCGCUUUUAUUAGAUCAAAGCCAAUCGGGUCUUCGGGCUCGUUUUGUUGGUGACUCUGAAUAACUUUGCUGAUCGCAUGGUCUCGUACCGGCGACGUAUCUUUCAAGUGUCUGCCUUAUCAACUGUCGAUGGUAGGUUAUGCGCCUACCAUGGUUGUAACGGGUAACGGGGAAUUAGGGUUCGAUUCCGGAGAGGGAGCCUGAGAAACGGCUACCACAUCCAAGGAAGGCAGCAGGCGCGCAAAUUACCCACUCCCGGCACGGGGAGGUAGUGACGAAAAAUAACGAUGCUAAACUCAUACGAGGCUUAGCAAUCGGAAUGAGUACACUUUAAAUCCUUUAACGAGGAUCUAUUGGAGGGCAAGUCUGGUGCCAGCAGCCGCGGUAAUUCCAGCUCCAAUAGCGUAUAUUAAUGUUGUUGCGGUUAAAAAGCUCGUAGUUGGAUCUCGGUUUCGGGCGGGUGGUGCACCUUGCGGUGUUUACUGUCUGCCCGGACGAUUUUGCUAGUUCGUUCAUGGUGCUCUUAACCGGGUGCCUUGAGUGGCUAGCACGUUUACUUUGAAAAAAUUGGAGUGCUCAAAGCAGGCGCUACAGCCUGAACAUUCGUGCAUGGAAUAAUGGAAUAGGACCUCGGUUCUAUUUCGUUGGCUUUCGGAGUCGAGGUAAUGAUUAAUAGGGACAGACGGGGCAUUCGUACUGCGACGUUAGAGGUGAAAUUCUUGGAUCGUCGCAAGACGAACUACUGCGAAAGCAUUUGCCAAGAAUGUUUUCAUUAAUCAAGAACGAAAGUUAGAGGUUCGAAGGCGAUCAGAUACCGCCCUAGUUCUAACCAUAAACGAUGUCGACUGGCGAUCCGUCUCCGUUAACUGAAUGACUAGACGGGCAGCCUCCGGGAAACCAAAGUGUUUGGAUUCUGGGGGAAGUAUGGUUGCAAAGCUGAAACUUAAAGGAAUUGACGGAAGGGCACCACCAGGAGUGGAGCCUGCGGCUUAAUUUGACUCAACACGGGAAAACUCACCAGGCCCGGACACCGGAAGGAUUGACAGAUUGAGAGCUCUUUCUUGAUUCGGUGGGUGGUGGUGCAUGGCCGUUCUUAGUUGGUGGAGCGAUUUGUCUGGUUAAUUCCGAUAACGAACGAGACUCUGGCCUACUAACUAGACGUUGGAUCCCUUGUGGGUCCUUCGCAGCUUCUUAGAGGGACGGGCGGCGUUUAGCCGCACGAGAUAGAGCAAUAACAGGUCUGUGAUGCCCUUAGAUGUUCUGGGCUGCACGCGCGCUACACUGAAGGACUCAGCAUGUGUUCCCUGUCCGAAAGGAUCGGGAAACCCUCUGAACCUCCUUCGUGAUGGGGAUUGGGGAUUGCAAUUAUUCCCCAUGAACGAGGAAUUCCUAGUAGGCGUGAGUCAUCAGCUUGCGUCGAUUACGUCCCUGCCCUUUGUACACCGCCCGUCGCUACUACCGAUCGAGUGAUUUAGUGAGGCCUUUGGACUGGUCUUCGUUAUGGCUUUCGGGUCGUGCCGGAGUACCGGGAAGAUGACCAAACUUGAUUACUUAGAGGAAGUAAAAGUCGUAACAAGGUUUCCGUAGGUGAACCUGCGGAAGGAUCAUUA
This is a ribosomal RNA of Orchesella cincta, 1806 nucleotides long. It matches the Rfam family "Eukaryotic small subunit ribosomal RNA". The record is from Rfam. Lineage: Eukaryota; Metazoa; Arthropoda; Collembola; Entomobryomorpha; Orchesellidae.